GAAUCGGUGGUCCAGUGGUAGAAUGCUCGCCUGCCACGCGGGCGUCCCGGGUUCGAUUCCCGGCCGAUGCA
Molecule: transfer RNA, 71 nt
Filed under: Teladorsagia circumcincta
Lineage: Eukaryota; Metazoa; Nematoda; Chromadorea; Rhabditida; Trichostrongylidae
Rfam family: tRNA
About the family: Transfer RNA (tRNA) molecules are approximately 80 nucleotides in length. Their secondary structure includes four short double-helical elements and three loops (D, anti-codon, and T loops).
Source: Rfam by way of RNAcentral